GCGAGCUUGCCUAGAUGAUUUUAGUGCUUGCACUAAAUGAAACUAGAUACAAGCGAGCGGCGGACGGGUGAGUAACACGUGGGUAACCUGCCCAAGAGACUGGGAUAACACCUGGAAACAGAUGCUAAUACCGGAUAACAACACUAGACGCAUGUCUAGAGUUUGAAAGAUGGUUCUGCUAUCACUCUUGGAUGGACCUGCGGUGCAUUAGCUAGUUGGUAAGGUAACGGCUUACCAAGGCAAUGAUGCAUAGCCGAGUUGAGAGACUGAUCGGCCACAUUGGGACUGAGACACGGCCCAAACUCCUACGGGAGGCAGCAGUAGGGAAUCUUCCACAAUGCACGAAAGUCUGAUGGAGCAACGCCGCGUGAGUGAAGAAGGGUUUCGGCUCGUAAAGCUCUGUUGGUAGUGAAGAAAGAUAGAGGUAGUAACUGGCCUUUAUUUGACGGUAAUUACUUAGAAAGUCACGGCUAACUACGUGCCAGCAGCCGCGGUAAUACGUAGGUGGCAAGCGUUGUCCGGAUUUAUUGGGCGUAAAGCGAGUGCAGGCGGUUCAAUAAGUCUGAUGUGAAAGCCUUCGGCUCAACCGGAGAAUUGCAUCAGAAACUGUUGAACUUGAGUGCAGAAGAGGAGAGUGGAACUCCAUGUGUAGCGGUGGAAUGCGUAGAUAUAUGGAAGAACACCAGUGGCGAAGGCGGCUCUCUGGUCUGCAACUGACGCUGAGGCUCGAAAGCAUGGGUAG
This 742-nucleotide ribosomal RNA is filed under the name uncultured bacterium. RNAcentral describes it as "bacterial SSU rRNA". It matches the Rfam family "Bacterial small subunit ribosomal RNA", at positions 53 to 768 of the family's 1533-position model. The record is from RNAcentral.